GCAAGGUCGUCGUUGCUGGUGUCCGUUUGGCUUUCUUAUCAGAAAAGCCACUGUGCUGCAAGAGACCUGGCCCGGGCGUCUUCCGCUGCCCUGCGCUUUGUGAAAAGGAUUAUUGUCUGGGAGCAGAGGAGAGAGGAGUAGACACUGUAACUGAAUGGAACAAGGCAAUAAGAUAAGUGAAAAAGAUACCGUUGGAGGAUAUUUCAGCUUUACAACAUUAUUGUCCACGUACAAGUUCUGAGGAAAUUUACAUGGGCAUAAACCUCUACAUUUUAAUGAAAGAAAAGAGUUGAUUCACUCAUCGGCAAUAG
This 311-nucleotide long non-coding RNA is filed under the name Anser brachyrhynchus (Pink-footed goose). Its description in RNAcentral is "lncRNA (ENSABRG00000008280.1)". Lineage: Eukaryota; Metazoa; Chordata; Aves; Anseriformes; Anatidae. The record is from RNAcentral.